UCAGGAGCAGAUCCUCACCCUGUGCUUCAGUUCUGCUUCCUCUGUCUGGAAAUCAGAUUUACAACCGAACUCAUUCCCAGCACUUGACCUGAAUAAUCACUACUAACCAGUGCAAGGAGAACGUCGCUGUCACUUUAAGAGCUGUCUGCCUUUCUGGAUUUUUCUUUCCUCGCUCCUUUUUGUGGUUAUCUCAGCAAGGGCAUAAAAUGAGGCAAAUCUCCUGCUGGCCAACAAGAUAACAGCAAUGCAUGAAGAGAAGGCAGACGUCAACAGAAACCAGCUGAUACAAAAAGAGAAAUCAAUGGAGCAGUCAUCAUGAAUACAAAAUGAGCCAAGAAACAAAAGUCACUCAAGAUUCAAAACUCCAUGGCAAUAUUGAUGAAAAGACUCCACACACUUUAUAAUGGACUAAACUGGACUUGAGAAAUCGGACGACCACCAUUUUGUCUACUUUCACUAUGAAGAGUAAUGCUUUCCAGCCAUCUGCUUGCCAACAAACACACUUCAUUGGAUGCAAAUCCAUAAAGGCCUGCCUGCCCGUUAUAUCCAAGUCACACACCCAUCAUCGGAUUUACAACAUCAUAAAACCAAGCACGCGCUUUGCAGUUGCGCGUGGAAAAAACGGUGCCUUACAGCGUAUUACGUUAUUAAAGAUGAAUCAAACCGAAA
Molecule: non-coding RNA, 669 nt
Organism: Paramisgurnus dabryanus
Lineage: Eukaryota; Metazoa; Chordata; Actinopteri; Cypriniformes; Cobitidae
Source: RefSeq, a predicted model, not a curated record